This 1079-nucleotide long non-coding RNA is filed under the name Anser cygnoides (Swan goose). RNAcentral describes it as "lncRNA (ENSACDG00005002056.1)". The record is from RNAcentral. Lineage: Eukaryota; Metazoa; Chordata; Aves; Anseriformes; Anatidae.
UACAAUAUAUUUAAAAACAACCCCUAUUUUGGUAAUAUUUACUCUAAUAUUAAUCUGCUUUUGAAGUUUUUAACUGGAAGCAGACCAGAUAUAAUUUCUUAUAUUUCUUAUAUAGUUAGUGUAUCUCAUAUAUUUCUUUCUGUUUUAGGAUUUAAUUUGUAUUUAAGUACUCAUACUACACUGAGGCAUGACGUGAUGAACAGUCUGACUUCUGCGUUACAAGAGAAUCUGACCAAAGAAAAGGCACAUACACCUCUUGCAGAUCAGUCUUCAGUUUUUCCCAAUAUGCAGACGUGAACUUGUCACUGAAGUAAGUCUGAUUAUAAAUAGCAUUGUCUGUUGCAAAGUGCCUAUCUGCAUGUGUGUAUUUUUACCCCAUGCCAUGUGAAGUGGUUUAAAACAUUUUUUAUGGAAAGUUGUAAGGUAGUCUUUAACCCAGAUUAGUUUUGAUGGAGGACUUUGUCACCCUAGAGAUUGUAUAAGUGGUCUGUUUCAGUGGAAUAUGGGAAACUGGUUGCUAAGAGCCUGAGACCUAUUCAGCUUGAUAGUUGAAACAGUCCAUUAGUGACAUUUGAGAGAGCCAGUUUGAUUGUCUCUCACAGUCCUCACUCCUGUUCAGGAUUUGCUACCAUGUAGUGCAUUGUGAGAGGACUUACAUAAGCCUUUUAAGAUCAGACAGAUCUGAGAUACUGAAAUACAACAAAAACCAUGCAUGCUGAGAGAAAAAGACAAAAUCUGUCUUUUUCUGCAUGUAUACCUCAUGCAGCAUCAAACAAUGCGUGAUGUUCUGAAAGUGCAGCUGGAUAUAUUCAAUGUGAUGUGAUGGCAAAUAUGGAGAAAAACAGAGUGAUAGGAAAAUCACCAAAACCGUCUGAAAUCUUUCUGUUUCUGGAAGAACAUGGAAGAUCUUGAGUAGCACUUUCCUGAACCAGGAGUUAGAAUAUAUAGUUGAGACAGAUCACCAUUUCCAGAGCAAUGUUGUAUAGCACUGAAGCACCAGAACAGUUAGUGGACACAGUUAUCGGACACAGUUAUCCAAACUAAUAAUAAACAUGAAUAGAAUAUUAACUAGUGUGGCA